Aquila chrysaetos chrysaetos is the source of this 2434-nucleotide long non-coding RNA. RefSeq lists it as uncharacterized. The record is from RefSeq and is a predicted model, not a curated record. The transcript is spliced from 3 exons. NCBI's taxonomy places the organism in Eukaryota, Metazoa, Chordata, Aves, Accipitriformes, Accipitridae.
CAUGAAAUUUGAAAGAGUUUUGCAAGAGAUGGAGAAAUAAGUCAAACAGGAAAAUGAGAGCAAUUCAGAAUACCUGCAGAAGAUAGCGAAGAGUUGAUUCCAUAUGGUUGAAUGCAAGAGGAAAAAUAAAUAGUCCAAACAACGCAAAACUCAGUGGUAGGGAGAAAUUUUACACUAAACACUGAUUGGCAAAGUAACAAGUUUAGUUAUUUUGUGAUUAGAUUUCUAUAAUGAUUUUCAUAUCAGUACUCAUGCAGCUCCAAAACAGUAGAGAACUUAUCCUCAUAAUACAUUGUGUUAUAACACCAUUGCAUUAUUUUACAGAUUUUAUAGUUGAGAAGCUGGCAUACAUGUAGAUGUAUUCUUCAGAGAGCAGAGCAUUCUCAAGAGAAGCAAUUUUCUGGCUUAAACCAGACAAGCUGUUCCAAGAGGCAUUCAUCAAGUGAAGCCAUGGUACUUCUUCCAGACUAAAGCACAUAAAGGUCCUCUCCAGCACAUCAGAAGAAGAAUUCAUGUUACUUUAGUCCUGAUAUGAAUUUUAACCAUAAAACUGUUCAGCCUCUCUAAAAAAAUGGAGUGGACAGUGAAUUAUAGGAAGAAAGAUCUUUUUAUAUGUGUCCAGUAGUAAGAUAUGAGGAUAUUUAACCUUGGAGUAAGAAGACUUCUGGGGACCAGAGAAAUUCUGUUUUCAAUUCUGGACAUCACAAUACCAAAAAUAGGCAGACUGUUUUUCAGUAACUGAAGGAAAAAGUCAGGAAUUAGCAGAAGAGAUGAAAAAUAAUUGUGCUAAGAAGAUUUUGUGAUACUUAGCACCUAAAUUAAAGUUUCAGUGAAAGGAUUGCCAUGGACUUCGAGGUAGCCAAGAUUUCACUGCAUAGUUAGCAGGAAAGGCAUUUACUCAAGGGGGAGGCACCGGCUUUCUGGCUAGAGCACCUUUUGGGUACAUGGGUGACCUGACCUGGUAUGCCCAGUUUGGAGCAGAAACUUGAACCGAAAUCUGCUUUGUUCAGGAAGUGGCGUGACUGAGUCAUCUCUCUACAGGCUUCAAGAUAAUAUGUGUUCCAAGAUUCCUGAGAUGAAUUUUUCACCUGAUUUUGUGCGUAACUGGGCUAUUGCCAGAUGAUGGGUAUGUGUCACAGUGUACGUUCUGCUUGUUUAUAUGAAUAAAGGGAAAAAGAAUUGAAGUUUAUCCCAUUGUACAUAGAGUGAAGGAAGACACAGAGAAAGUAAAGACUGUUUUGCCACAGAUACUUAUCUUUUGCAGCGCUGAUCUUCUAGAUCGCCUGUUGCCUGGUAAAGAGGGUGUGGCACAGUGUAAAAUUCCCAAGGAAAGACAGGCUGGCUAUGCCUAUUCUAGUAAACAAGUGUGCCAGGGCCUGGGUUGUGGCUUUGAUGGCAAAUUGCAUGGCAGUUUGCAUCUGGCUUUUUCCCCUUCCCACAGUGGUCUCAUCUAUUUCCCAGCCUGGACAUUGUCUGGGAGAUCAGUAGUUAGCGUAAGACAAAGCUGUACUAGAGGAGCCAACAAUUUAGCAAUAUGGGCAAUCAUGGCAACCUUGGUCUGUCUUUAAAUUAUAUUUUAUUAUUAUAGGUGUAGCCUCAAAGCCAACUGAAUUAACUUAGAGCAGAUGGAGUGCUGUUUAAAAGCACUUAAGACAACCGGGCAGAAACCAAUAGAUUCAUUCACAUUUUAGCUUGGCCAAAGUUCUGGUUAAGUUCUCCUGAUUAAGUCUUGGUUUUCCUUCUGUAAAAAGUAAAGGUCUCUUAGAAUAGCUAUUAACCCUUCACUUGGAGAACUUCCUAGAAGUGUAGUAAGCCUGGGUCCAGCUUCUUCCUGGACUGACUGAUUCGAAAGAAGGAUUUGAACCCACAUCUGCUUCCACUUUGGAGGAAGGAGAUGAAGCAUUCUUUGUCUGAAGGUCAUGUUUUAGAGCUAUUCUACUUUGUAUUAAACAGUUACCCACUGAGCCACAGAAGGUGAGAGAAUAAGAAAACAGUCAGAUAUGUUCAUCAUGUAUUUGGAAACAGAGUGAUGAGCCUACUUAAUUGGAUCUGCAGCUGAGACACGAUGACUGAUCCUGUGUAUGUUUGUUGUCAUUUGCAAUACAUAGCAAAUCAAUUAUAAAGCUGAUUUAUGCUCCUCCUUCUGCUGAAGUAUGUUCCUAAAAGAUGUGAAUUUGACAGCUUACAUUUAGGUGAUUGUGUAACUGAUUGUCAACAUGAAUGUUUUUCUCUUCUUCAGUAGAAAUGGAUGCAGUAAAUGGAACCAUUACUGAAGCUGUGUCCUCAUUUAUAAUGAUGACUUGUGAUUUAGACUUUAUUUUGCUGGGUCACUGUGCACGUUGGUCUAAAAUCUCAUCCAGAGAAAUAUAUAAGUAUGUUAUUAUAUAUAAAUAAUCACAGAAUAGAUUUUCUGACCUCACUUCAGGCCUCUGCA